Molecule: non-coding RNA, 77 nt
Organism: Potamilus streckersoni
Lineage: Eukaryota; Metazoa; Mollusca; Bivalvia; Unionida; Unionidae
Source: the annotation of a GenBank genome assembly
AGCAGCUUAUGUUGCCUUUUGGUUAGAGCGUUCGCCUCGGAUGCGGGAGAUCGCAGGUUCGAACCCCGGCUGAGUCA